Molecule: ribosomal RNA, 468 nt
Filed under: uncultured bacterium
Lineage: Bacteria
Description: partial 16S ribosomal RNA
Rfam family: Bacterial small subunit ribosomal RNA
Source: RNAcentral
GACGAACGCUGGCGGCGUGCUUAACACAUGCAAGUCGAACGGAAAGGCCCUGCUUUUGUGGGGUGCUCGAGUGGCGAACGGGUGAGUAACACGUGAGUAACCUGCCCUUGACUUUGGGAUAACUUCAGGAAACUGGGGCUAAUACCGGAUAGGAGCUCCUGCUGCAUGGUGGGGGUUGGAAAGUUUCGGCGGUUGGGGAUGGACUCGCGGCUUAUCAGCUUGUUGGUGGGGUAGUGGCUUACCAAGGCUUUGACGGGUAGCCGGCCUGAGAGGGUGACCGGCCACAUUGGGACUGAGAUACGGCCCAGACUCCUACGGGAGGCAGCGGGGGGGAAUCUUGCACAAUGGGCGGAAGCCUGAUGCAGAAACGCCGCGUGCGGGAUGACGGCCUUCGGGUUAUAAACCGCUUUCGCCUGUGACGAAGCGUGAGUGACGGUAAUGGGUAAAGAAGCACCGGCUAACUACGUG